GUUGAACAAUUACUUAAGUCCCAUCCUCAAUCAACUGCUGGAAAAGUGACACUAUGUUUUGAAUAGCAACAUAGAAAGUCUAGGUCAGUCUCUUAUGUCAUGUCAUAGCAGCCACGGGCGUAGCAGGGGGAGCUAAAACAGUGACAGUAAACUGACGUACGAAAAUAAAAAUUGGCACUGAAAAAUGUUCAACUGAAAAAUAAAUAAACAAUCUCACAAUCAUACAAUUUUAUUUUAUUUUGAUAUUUUUAGGCAUUAUGAUGUGCUUUUCAAUUUUAAUAUUACAUUUUUUUGGGAUGUCUGUCUUUUCAAUGACAGUUCUUUUUAUGCUGUCAUGAUUUUUACAAUGUCACUGGUUUUCAGUUUUAGCUCUCUGUCAACGGCCUUGAGGGGAAGGAGGAGGGUGCGAUUUACAGAUAAUUGCAGGGGGCGUGGCCGGCACCUCUCCCAUCACGCAUGCGGAGCCACGGGGCCGACAGUGUGGAGCCCACGGGCUACGGAGCUCUGCGCCUGGGGGUGUGUGAUGGGCGAGGUGCCGGCAGUGUGGUGAAGUCUUUCAUACGGGCCCAAAUUGGUCUGCUGAUAAACCAUGUUGAUUAAUUUGAUCUGCUAAGGAUAGCAUGCUAUCCCGGAGCACAACACAUGAAACAAACUGAGACCUGAUGUAAUACCACGGAAGGUGACUGUACGAUCUGGCUGAGUGAAAGAAUGAGCCGGUCUUAAAUACUGCAGACUGAAGAAUUUCCUACCAACGGAGGAUGUGUUGAUCUGCCCGCCGACUGGAGACAAGGAGCAGGGGUCGGCCCGACCACCAACGAAGCAUGUGUUGUGGCCGGCAAGGCCCAAUGCUAGCCGACGUGGAUCCUGGCUGGACACUAGCAGGCCCGAUGCUAGCCGACACGAAGACCAGCUGGAGACUAGCAGAUCCGACGCUAGCCGACUGGGAGGCUGGUUGGAGGGAGAAUGGCUGGGAGUCCUAGGUGUUCAAAAAGUCCAUCAGCCAGUCUCAGGGAACUUCCCCGUGUGCCAUGUGCAGAGCAGCCUCCUUGUAUUCCACCCCAAUGUCUCUUUAAAAUUCUCCAUGAAUAUAAAUCAAAGUGUAAAUCAAUUUAUGAUGCUCAAAAUAAAAUACAGCUCCUGCUGGGUCCAUUCUGGUCAGUUAGUACUUUAAAGGUUUGAGGAGUAGCAGGAUCCAACUGCAAGGUGCAAAGAAAAACUAUUUUUAAUUCACAUAACAGAGACAUAAUAGUCUUUCAGGUUGAACUAACAAAAAAUAAUGGAAGGGAAAAAGCAAACCGAACAAGGCACAGGAGAACAGACUGGGGGGGAAAUAACAGUUAACAGGCUGGGGCAAAAUUCACAGGGCAGGAAUCACAGACGAACUGACAAACACAAAGAGAAGCAGAGCGACUAAAUAGAGUGAAGAAGGCCCAGAUAAUGGGAAACAGGUGAGACACAUUAGGAACAGGUGCAGACAAUCACAAGGGCAAGAGACACAGGAAAAGUAAAGUGAACAGACAACAGAAAGGGAAACAGGAAGUGCAGAGCACAAGUAACAUGACUUCAAAAUAAUACAGGGAACAACGAACUCGAGAAACCAACACAGGGUAUAACAAAGGUAACGUAACAGAGAUACACAAGGAAUGCAAAAAUCCACAAGAGGCUGUGGCGGACUCAGGCUGUUUGAGGGGCAGGGGCGAAAAAAAUAAAAAGGACUCCUACUGCACGACGGCUCCACCAAUGGUGGGGGGUGAACUUCAGACCCUCUUGGGGGAUCCGGGGGCCAUGUCAAUAAAUUCAUAAAUGACUGAGCACUGAUAUGGCUACUAUGGAAAACUAUGGCUUUUUUACACAAACUAACAGCUGUCUAAGUUGUGAGAGGAUGUCACAGACAUGUAAUAGGUGGAUUGAUGUCAAUAAAUUCAUAAAUGACUGAGCUAUUGAAAAUGCAAAACUUGAAAUAUGCAUAUUAAUAUGCAUCUAAUGUUUCCUUUUUCAGUAGCUCACUUUUUUUGUAUCAGAUGUAAUCUCCGUCCAUAGACCUGAAGACACAUCAUGUGACCAUUCACAUACUCAUCAUGGGCAUGUGCCUGUCAGUGUUAACAGGAAGCAGAUUGUCUACUCUGCAGUCAGUUGCUUAGUUAAAGACAAUGCUAAAAACAAGAUACAGCAAUGGUAAAAAGUAAAAGCAGGGAUUUCUUUGCUUGGACAAUAAGGUGGAACUGUAAUGGUGCGUUCAAACCAAAUGAAAAGCAAUUUUUUUGCGCCAUGAGAUUACAUAUUAAGUCAAUGCAAAGCAACCUUUUCAUAUAUCACGCACAAUGUCAAGCUUUCCCUUUAACUCCCCUGCCGAUCUGGCCACUUACCAGCUGUUUUCAGACAUGAAUUCCAGGAAAAUGUCCGAAAAAUUGUGUCCAGACCUUUUCUGGAGUUUGCUGUUCACAUAAGAAGAACAAGCGUUCACAGCCAAAAAUACAUUUUUCCUGCUGUGUUCUCAAAUGGGCACACUGAUAUUUGACAUAAUUCUUACAAGGGGGCAGGCAGGAAAAGUUCUAUAAAAUGCCUUAAGCAACAUUUGCGUAUUCACACACAACCCCUUUGGAAAAGGUCAGAAAAAUGUCCGGAUUUCAGUGUCUGAAAGCAGCUACUGAGUAAAUAAAAUAGUGAAACAAUGUUGUUUCAGUAACAUGUUGUUUUCAGCUUAUUGGGGCCUUCAGUGAUAAAUUUGAAACUUACUAAUAAGAAGACAGGCUAUUAUUUUUCACUAAAUCCUUCUUAUAUCACCCAUGCUCACACUUUUAUUGUGCGAGUGACCACAACAACAAACAGUCCAGCUUUGAGAGGCAACAUGAUUGAUGAAGAACUGCAACCCUUAAAAAUAACUUCACAAACUGUAAUUUUGGAGUUAGAAACAUCUCAGGUGCGCAAUUAAAUUUUCUAUGUCAUGUAUGGAAAAUACCAGGCUCGUGUUCUACAGGCCCAGUGCUCCCCUUAGUAGAUGGCCCCCGUUCUGAGGAAAUAAUCAAUGCAACUGACAAAUACCAACAUGAAUUGAGCGGAAAAAGAAACACACAUAUUGAACUGAAAAUGUAUUGACUUGUGCUCAUGGGACAAUCCUUUAAUCCCUGAGCUCUUGUUAGAAAGUGUCAUUGACUAUAGAAAAAUCUAUUUUCAGCUGACAGACCUACAUUUGAAAAUAGGUGACCAGAUUUCAACAGAGAUGGAGAUAGAUGAUGGGUGGCAGGGAGUGUGUGUGUGUGUGUGUGUGUGUGUGUGUGUGUGUUUGUUUGUUUGAGUGCCUGUACUGUGGGUAUUUCUGUUUUUUUGGUGUGGUUGUGGUGUGGCCAGGGGGGUAGUCAGGUUUUCUUUUCUAGAGCGGAUCCAAAAUCCAACCCGUAAAGAGCCAUGAGAUUACAAAAAUGAGAUUGUGCCUGCAGUUUACAGGGAUGAAACUUACUGUGAGAACCUCCAUAAUGCGACGUGAGGGACGAAGGAUUGUGGUUCUCCUAAUGAUUCACCUUUCUGCUUCCAUUUUCUCCAAUAAAAAACUAUGAAACCUUUCAGAGUGGCGCAAUGGUGCCAUGUCAGUUAAAACCUGACGACUUUGAAAAGCGAAGGAGAACAUGAGAAUAAAUACUGUGGUGAAUUAUACAAAAUGUUAUGGUCAUCGCAAUCAUUCGUCUUAGGGAAUUUAAUCAUGCAAUUUACGUCCACAUAAGGACAUUUCAAAGGAUUCAUUAUCUUGUGUCUGAUUAUUAAGUGACAAGCAUUUAGGUCAAAAUGAAAAAGAAAAAGGUUUCAAUCCAACUAACGUUAACAGGCAGCCACACGUUAUCACUUGAGGAUUAACAAGGCUAAAGGUUGCGAGACAGGGGUCAUAAUAAUCCUGUAGAGUGAGACUUGGGACCUCAGAAAUGAAGUCGCCUCCUUAUCUCUGCAGAGUUACUGCAAACAGUAACAGAUUAACACCGCUUGGGUUGUUUGUUUUGGGGAUCUCCUGCUUUUAGCAGAGUGCUGUCUAGAGGCAAAGUAACAGCGAAACUCUCUCACUCCCCUGCCUGAAAAUGACCUCUGUGCAGUAAUUCUGAAAUGUCCGAUCAGUUAACUGCGACCAAACGACCAAGAAGGACCAUUACAGAGAAAUUUAUAUAGUGUGCGCCUGAG
RNAcentral lists this long non-coding RNA (4164 nucleotides) under Scophthalmus maximus (turbot). RNAcentral's name for it is "lncRNA (ENSSMAG00000026807.1)". The record is from RNAcentral. Lineage: Eukaryota; Metazoa; Chordata; Actinopteri; Pleuronectiformes; Scophthalmidae.